CGUUGAUCUAAAAAAGUAUUCUAUCUGCUGCCCCGCUCUUAUCUCCCUCCCCCUCCCCUCCCCUCACCCGCUCACCCUCCGAUGCUCUCUGCCUGCACUAUACCUGCGGUCGCCUGGAUCUCCCACAAGCAGGGGAGCUCCCAGCCGGCCAACUUCCAGAUCUGUUCUGAUGCUCACCAAGGGCAACAAGAUCCUCCAGCCAGGACAACCCUAAUUACCAAGCCCUCUGGGUUUAUCUUGUGGAUCUAUUCUCAUGGAUUUGGUUGAGCUAUCCGGCACAUCACUAGCUGAAGCAAUGUUCGAGAAACUAGGUCUCCCUAAACCAGUACUUUGUGCAUCAUCUUCCACAAGAUCGAUUUAGAACAGAGAUUGAAUUUCACCGCACAAAAAAACGGUACCAUGCUUCAGCGCGGUGGACUAAAUUAUCAAGCUGUAUAUGUCAGGAUGGGUAACAUCAAUGAAUCAUGCAGUCGAUAUGGCCAUCGAAUACAUGCAGAACACAGAGGGUAAGGCGCUUGUGGACUAUAACUAUUAUCAGCUAGAGCAACAGAAAAUGGCACAUACAAGAUUAUCAGCCAGGCUGCUAGAACAAUCAAAGGAAAUCAACCAGCACAGCAAAACCAUCAAGUAGAGAACUAAAGAGGCAUGUAACUAUGUGGAACAAGUGCACAAUGCAUCAAACAAAAUCCAAGACCUUGCUGGCGUUUUCUUGGACCCUGCUGCCUCGAUGUGUGUUUCUAAUAUGAAGCAAGCUAUCAUGGAGAUUCACAUUUCAGUUGUCGCACUUCAAAGCUCUACAAUUACAACAUCUCAGUUCCUAGAGGAAAAAGGCAUGUACUCAGAUGAUGAAGUGCCUGAACAAGGCUACAGUGGCUACUCAGAUGAAAAUUCAGCCGAUGAUAUUCAUCAAGACAUGGAUGAGGACUAUGCUCACUAUGUCCGAUCCCCAUGAGCGUCAUAUUGAGCCUGCUGAACUGUCUCGUUGCCAUGUGAAGCUGUAUAUGUAUGGCUUCACCGCUAGGAAGCAACUCUGUGGUUGUUGUGUUUAGUCUCCUAGGUUGCCUAAAUAAGAUGCGAAGCUGUCUGCUCAUAGCUUCGGCUUAGAAAUCUUUAUCCUUUCUGAACUUCACUCUGGUCAUGUAUAAGUAUAAAGUCUAUGUUGACGUGUUAAGACAAUGUUAUUUAUCUAUGCUACGUCUUUGCUUUUAUCCACUGUGAUCCUUCCUUUCAAUAUCUUUGCUAUAAAC
This 1247-nucleotide ribosomal RNA is filed under the name Triticum aestivum (bread wheat). Its description in RNAcentral is "partial small subunit ribosomal RNA". Lineage: Eukaryota; Viridiplantae; Streptophyta; Magnoliopsida; Poales; Poaceae. The record is from RNAcentral.